UGGCCCUACAGGAGCAGCUUUUGACACUCCUGCUGAAGGGUCUUAACCAGGAGUCACAUAAUCCAAAAUGAGCAAUGCUGGGAAACUUCAGGACCAACACAGAACUACUGAUAUUCCAGAGUUCAGUAAAAUACCUGGUGAGCUCAAAGAGAAGCCGAAAGAUCAACUCUGUAUCACUAUUUGCGUGAGCUCACCAGACAGACAUCCCAGAAUUCAAUUAUUCACCACAGCCAGGGGACAUUUAAUCAGACAUCCAUCAGGCAGAGUGUACAUACAAGUGGCGUGAUACAAACAUCUCAGUGCUGUUGGUAAAUCAAAUCUGAUUUAUAUAGACAGAUGACUUGUCUAUAAUGCUGCAUGAAUAAAGUUGCUUUAUUGCCUUUCUUUGAACACAACCCACUCAUAGAUGAGCUUGAAAAUGAGAUGUGCGAAGAUCAACAGCACUACACAAAUGCAUAUGACCCACUUAUUAUUGAAGCUACUGUUCAUUGCUGUUCACAGCCCUUCCUCAUUAUUUGCGACAUAAUCACAACCUUGUUUUGAAUGUGAUUAUGGUUGCGUAGCUUCAGGACACCAUUGUGUUUGAGAAGUCUGUUUCACUAGAAUUGGCCUUAAACAGUGCUCUGGGAAAAUCGGAGUAUUAAUAACAAUUAUUGGCGUUCUUUAGUUUCUACAGGCACCUUAAGUGUUGGGUAUUGACUGUUGUCUAUUGAUUUCACAGCUUGUCACUUGGGGUUCAACUCCCAUUGACUCAGAACACUUCAAACAAGCCCUCAUUCACCAACACUCUCUCCACAUGCACAUGUGCAGGAAGAUAUUAUUCUAAAUAGC
RNAcentral lists this long non-coding RNA (831 nucleotides) under Sinocyclocheilus anshuiensis. RNAcentral's name for it is "lncRNA (ENSSANG00000014389.1)". The record is from RNAcentral. Lineage: Eukaryota; Metazoa; Chordata; Actinopteri; Cypriniformes; Cyprinidae.